Molecule: non-coding RNA, 235 nt
Filed under: Paenibacillus sp.
Lineage: Bacteria; Bacillati; Bacillota; Bacilli; Caryophanales; Paenibacillaceae
Also listed under: 1 other name
Source: RNAcentral
CAAAAUAUAGUGGAGACAGGCGCUUUGAUCCUUUAUCGGAAUUAGAGCUUAAUAGGGAAGUACGGUGAAAAUCCGCUGCGGUCCCGCCACUGUAACCGGAUGCCCCUUACAAGCUUUUUUAAGCUUAAGAUGGGCAGAUCUCCUGGCAGAAGCCACUGAGGGGUAAGAGCCCCCUUGGGAAGGCGCUGAGAGGUCCUACGGAAGCCAGGAGACCUGCCUGUUUCGACGACACCAA